CCCCUGCCCCCGCCCCCGCUCCGCCCUCGGUGCCUCCUCGCCCGCUGCGCGCCCCGCGGUCCUUGAACCCCGAGCGGUCCCGUGUCCCGCCUGUGACCCGCUGCGCCCCGGGCCGCCGCCCUCUCCGUGCCUCCCGGCCCGGCCCCGCCGCCUGCAGAACGGAGCCCGAGCGGGGAUUUGGACCGGGCUCGGCGGCCUCCGGGCGGCUGGUCUACCCCGAGGUCGGGCCUGGGCGUGCGCGCCGCCCCCGGGGCCGCACAGCGGCGGCCGACGCCCGAGCAAAGAAACGGACGAGGCUGAGCUCUGCAGCCCGGGGAGGUGUCCGAACUGGGUUGUUAGAUGGAGAAAUCAAUUAUUCUGUUGCUCUGGGUACAAUAUGUUGUUAAGAUCUCAAAAAGUUUCUGUUUUGUGAAUAAUCGAACAACAGUUGUUAUUGAAUGGGAUGAAUUUCCUAAGGGAAGAAGUCCUGGAUUUUAUUUUUUAAAAUACCAACUUGUUAAUGAUUUUGCUGAAAAAACUAUCAAAAGCAUUCUUAUAAACCCACAAGAGCUUUCAAAAGCAAUAACACUAGAAGAAAAUGAAGACUAUCACAUUAUUCUACAGUCCAUAAAAUAUGGACAAAUUUUAAGUGAAAAGUCAUUUAAAACCCGCUCAUGUUCACCAGGAUGGAUAGCAUUGAGAAAUAGCUGUUAUAAAAUUAGCAAAGAGAGUAAGCCAUGGAAUAUAGCCCAGCGACACUGUAGAUUAUCCUUAAGUUCUGCACACCUUGUGGAUAUAAAAAAUGAAGAGGAAAAAAAAUUUGUAUCUUCACUUCUCAGGUCAAAGAAUCAAAUAAUAAUAUGGACUGGUCUUAAUGAUUUGAAGAAAGAAGGUCAUCUCACGUGGACAGAUGGAUCAUCUUUUGGCCUUAAGAAAAAUGAAAUCUUUUCUUUUCCAUUGCUACCCAAGAAUGAAACAGAUUGCUAUGUUUUACAGCAAAAUGCAUCUGGAUCAAACUAUUUCUUCACAAGAUUUUUCUGUUAUGUUCCAUUGCCGUAUAUUUGCAGAUAUGACUCACCUUCUCUGCAGGAAAACCUUUUGAUCUAUAUAAAGGAUGUUGGAACAACUGAAGUUGUAUUUGGUUGGCAUAAUUUGAAUGCUUGGAAUAAUUUGAAUAAGUGGCUAAAACUGGGAUAUAAAAUUAUCAUUAAAUAUUAUUUAGAUUAUACAGAAGAAAAAUAUUUUGAAAGCAUAUCCCCAAAUACUACGGAAAAAAGAAUUACCCAGUUGUUUCCUGGCCAUACUUACAGAUUUUUACUCUUUGCAAUAAAUGAAUGGGAGGCAAAAACUGUGUUAAGUUCAGUGUUCAUUGUUGAAACACGCCCGUUAUCAGCUCAAAAUAUCACAGUUACUCAUGUGACCCCAACAGAAAUAUUUUUACACUGGAAUCCUCCAGAUCUUGCAUCUUUUCACCAUUAUCUUGUGACUAUUUUGAAUGUGGAAAACAAUAAAUCAAAAGAGAUGUUUGUUGAAAAACUCAACACAUCAGUGAAAAUCGGAGAUCUCAAACCUUUCCAUCAUUAUCUGAUAUAUUUAUUCAGUGUAGGGGAAAGAGGAACUUUAGGAUGCUCUGAGAGACCUAUUUCAGCCGUUACAGGUGAGUGAGUGCCGGGUAGGUGCCCUUGCACAUCUGAUGAAAAAAUGAGUAAUCUUGGCAAUGGGAACAUUACUCUGAUGGAACUCU
This 1723-nucleotide long non-coding RNA is filed under the name Vulpes vulpes (red fox). RNAcentral's name for it is "lncRNA (ENSVVUG00000010370.1)". The record is from RNAcentral. Lineage: Eukaryota; Metazoa; Chordata; Mammalia; Carnivora; Canidae.